AUUUAAAUAGCUUAAAUUUAGAGCUUGAUAUUGAAGAUAUCAAAGUGAGGGAUAUCUUCUUUAAAUA
RNAcentral lists this transfer RNA (67 nucleotides) under Timema californicum (California timema). Its description in RNAcentral is "tRNA-Phe". The record is from RNAcentral. Lineage: Eukaryota; Metazoa; Arthropoda; Insecta; Phasmatodea; Timematidae.